GUGAACGGCCUGCAACAAAACUUCAACUUCGGCCAGAAAAUCGAGGACGGAGGUGAUGUGCAGGGCCGCCUAACUCAUUUACGUGGGGACUUCCCACUCCCUGAAGGUCUCAUGCCGGGCAUAAGCUCCGAACAGCAGGCUGGUCUAAGCCCUCCCCCUCAUGCUGAUCUGUGAAACAUGUCUUGCUGGUUCGCCUGAUAAUUCUCGAUCCGACACCCUGAAAAUAUCGUGUCACUACCAAACAUCGAUCGAGUUCCCCUAUAGCAGGUUAACAUUUGGGAAGAUCAAAAACGCUCAUAAAUUUUAAAAUACGCAUUCAUUCAUUUAUACAAUCCCGCAUUCAGUAUUUCUACUAAGACAAGCUCAGCGGAACGGAUGGGAUUUAUCGGCCCACUCCUUUGGGACCUUCACUACAAAAAGGUAAACAUCCGGAACAACCCAAUAAUUCUAUCAACCCAAGACCUUGUGUGGAGUUGGAAUAUAUUUGUCCUCGCCGGCGGAUCUACACUGGUAAUACCCACCAGCUCUCAAUGAAAAAUUAUCCGAUUCCAUCAAAAUUUCACACAUUCUUCUUGGUUGGAUAUAAUCUUCAAAGUUGGAAUCUAUACGUACUUUGAUACAAACAUAAUUUGAUCAAAUUAUUGAAAUCAUGGUACCAUAAAAAAGUAAGGUGGUGAAACAUUUUGCAUGCGGAAAUAUUUGUGCCUAUGCCUGUCUUGUCGUCGUGGUUGCCGAAGAACGGAUUUUGUAUGCGGUAUAUGCUGAUGUGAUUGAUAGUUCCAAAAAAGGAGACAGCAAAUUUUAUGGACGUCACAUAUAUAUAUAAAUAUAUCUAUCAAGGACAACACAACGUUUACGCUUCUUUCCGGAGGAAACAGAUUUUGAACGCCAGGCAAACCCUGAAAUGAAGCUGGACUUGUUGACUGGUCCUUUUACAAUGCCGGCGUUCUGGGCGGGAUCAAUAACAGGCACAGCAAAAAGCUCAAAGUUGCAGCUGGCCAGUUUACAAUUCAAAUCUCCACACCCUCAAUGUAACUUUUUUUGGCUUUUUUCUCCUGUGGACAACUUGCCACUACCUUGCGUUACCAAAAAGAAAAGGCAAUUUCCCGCCGUUGUGCUGACCAAAACCGGACAAUUUUCGGUGCUUCCAAAAAAGCUUGAUACACCACCGGAAUAUUCCUGUUGGAGCAACACACAUCACAUAUAACAACACAUUACUCAACAAACCACUGUUACAAACUACUUACACAAUAAAAAAAUCGCAACACACAAAUUAAA
This is an RNA transcript of Musca domestica (house fly), 1278 nucleotides long. RefSeq lists it as uncharacterized. Lineage: Eukaryota; Metazoa; Arthropoda; Insecta; Diptera; Muscidae. The transcript is spliced from 5 exons. The record is from RefSeq and is a predicted model, not a curated record.